RNAcentral lists this ribosomal RNA (404 nucleotides) under Salmonella enterica subsp. enterica serovar Enteritidis. Its description in RNAcentral is "partial 23S ribosomal RNA". It matches the Rfam family "Bacterial large subunit ribosomal RNA", at positions 1487 to 1869 of the family's 2925-position model. The record is from RNAcentral. Lineage: Bacteria; Pseudomonadati; Pseudomonadota; Gammaproteobacteria; Enterobacterales; Enterobacteriaceae.
UUGGCCGGGCGACGGUUGUCCCGGUUUAAGCGUGUAGGUGUGUGUUCCAGGUAAAUCCGGUUCACUUUAACACUGAGGCGUGACGACGAGGCACUACGGUGCUGAAGCAACAAAUGCCCUGCUUCCAGGAAAAGCCUCUAAGCAUCAGGUAACAUCAAAUCGUACCCCAAACCGACACAGGUGGUCAGGUAGAGAAUACCAAGGCGCUUGAGAGAACUCGGGUGAAGGAACUAGGCAAAAUGGUGCCGUAACUUCGGGAGAAGGCACGCUGACACGUAGGUGAAGUGAUUUACUCAUGGAGCUGAAGUCAGUCGAAGAUACCAGCUGGCUGCAACUGUUUAUUAAAAACACAGCACUGUGCAAACACGAAAGUGGACGUAUACGGUGUGACGCCUGCCCGGUGC